Molecule: long non-coding RNA, 2072 nt
Filed under: Prunus dulcis (almond)
Lineage: Eukaryota; Viridiplantae; Streptophyta; Magnoliopsida; Rosales; Rosaceae
Description: sRNA ncRNA
Source: RNAcentral
CUUCCUUAUACAAGGGUUGGGAGUUGUUUUGGGCCAUCCCAUCCUAAAUUUUGUGUUUGCCUCUCUGGGGUUGAUCACCUAACCUUGUGAGAAAUAGGAAAGUAAUGCUAAUCCUACUAGCAAUAGAAAAACAGAAAAAUAAUUCCCUCAUAUUAGGAAUAGUAAACUAAUCCGAAAUAAUAAGACUGGAAAUCAACAACAAACAAGAAACCAAAUAAGCAAUGGUCUGAAUCCCAAUUAAAUCCGGAUUAUUGGUUAUGCUACAUCAUUCUUCAAGGGUGACAAGAACUCAACACCGGUGAGUCAAUGAUCGGAGAAGACAACGGUCACUAAGGGUAGUGUCGACGAUGGGUAUAGGUAUGAUGAACUGUUGGUGGAUGUCCGGUAAGAACCGAAGUCGGAAGAAUGAACUCGAUACAAUCUAAAGAUGAUUUUCGUAUUGAUGCAGGAGAGAUGGAUCAAGUUUAAAAUGUGAUCUGUGUGGGACUAGGCUGCAACAUUAAAAUCCAGGUAGGGGGACCUCCGUGCCAAAUCUUAUAUUCUUAUGUGUGUAUGAAGUAAAUAGAUAUGUAUGAGUGAAUGGAAAAAUCUGCAUUGUUUUUAUUUGGCAUCCCUAUGUCUAGUUUUGUUGGUAAUGGAUAUCUUCUUUGUACGAUGUGAUAUCCAAAGAUCAUUAUUAUGAUAACUUGAGGGUGAAGGGUCACAUGCAUUGGGACUUGGAAUUCGAUACCUUAACCCUACAAGUUAUGUUGACUAAUUAGACUUACAAUCAAAGCGGAUGGGGAUAGACUAUGAGAUAUAUAACUACAAAAUGGACAAUCUCGCUACCUUAACAUAGAAGUUGAAUCAUUUAAUCUUUUGUAAGGGUAGUUGGCCUUAUAGAUCGAUUAUAAAGUAAUGACACUGGGCCCAAAAAACUUGAUUUCAAAAGUUGAUUGAGCAUCCUUGUCUUCUUGAAAACUAAAUGCAAAGUUUUCGUUAUGCAUUGUUAUUAGUUUUAAGAUAAACUCUGCGAUCUCAAUAUAGUAGUAGGGAGAAGGGCAUAAGAACGUAUGUGAUACUUAAUGGCGGAUUCAAGAUUCUCGGACCAAGGAGUCUUAGAAAGACGGCGACGGCACAAGGCGGUGGUGGUCGGCGCUAGCGAAGAGGUAGUGGUGGAGGUUGGGAUGUUGGGGCUCCUAGGGUUGUGAGAUAUUAAUUUGGGAAUGAAAGGGUUUGGUGACAUGCUGUGGAGUUGGAUAAAUGAGAGGGGAUGAGGAUGAUCUUUUGUUUUGUUUUAGUUUUAAAAGACUAGACCCAAAACAAUGUAGUUUUGAGGCCAAGUCAAUUAAAAAAAUUUGAAUUAGCCCUGGACCAAACAAUGUCCUUUGGCCAGGCUAUUUUUAAAAAAAAAAUUUGGACCUUGCGUGCAUGCAACAGCUGGGCAAUGCGCAGCACAACGCAAGGCAAGCCCACAGGGGACGUUCAUCAAGCACCUUGUGUGCACACAAAGGGUCGCUCUACUGUUAUCCAAGGGGUCACUCAUGGAGUUCGUAGCCAGAUUUCUAGCAUCCCAAGGGUUCGUGCAACCCUUCUUGUCCCAACAUGCAUCCACUCCUGGUGAUGCCUACCCCUAUGUGUAAAUCUUGCAAGUACUAUGGUACGAAUGACUUUGAUUUGCGACCUUGAGGUCAUUCGAUGAAUAUGUUAUCUUUUGAUUCAUAAGAGCAUCCACAAUGGGCUCCUAAACCACCUCCUUAGACAAAUUUUAGGGAGGAAUUGGAAAAAUGCAACUCCAACCAUGCUCCCUAUCCACCUCCUAAAAUAUGGAGUCCUCUAGAAGCUCCUAAAUCUGAGGAGAGAGAAAGGACUCAUAGUGACUCCUUAUAAUUUAAUGCUGCUUUAUUUAAUGAGUAUUUCAAACCUUUAUUUAAUGUUAACUAUUUUUUAUUUUAUUUCAUAAUAGAGAUUAACCAAUUAAAAAAGAGUUAUAGCAUUUAUAACUCUCCAAAUUAUGGAGUAUGGUUGGAGUUGAAAGUUUUUAGAGAGCUCCUAAAAUAUUUCUUAUAUUUUUAGCUAAAUUUUAGCUAAGA